UUCUUUUUAUUUACGAUGAUAUUUGUAAUAAACAUAUCCAACCGUUUAUCAUUUCUGCGUUGUGUGACCAAAUGUGCGGCACAGGACACUAUAGUUAGCUUCCAAAAACAGUCCAUGCUUUUCUAAGGCACCGUGAAUCCGUUGACACGUAGUGUUCAUCAAUCAGGCAAUCAUCGAUAAUGUGUUGUUCAGUGUGGAUUAUUAUUAUUUUUCGGAUUUCAUAUAACCCGCCAUAGGAUUAUAUUCACUAUGUUUUGUGUUUCUGUGCAAAGAGAAAUAACUCGUUUUGGAACAGACAUCCCGCCACCGAAGUGACGCGCCCUUGAUUCCGAGCAGCCAUUGUACCGUUCGUAUGACGCCAUUGACGUGCCACCUACAUAGAUCACCAAUGGAGGAGUCCAUUAUUAUGCAUCUUUUAGAAACAGCUCGGAGAUUUACGAACCACGAUGUAAAUAAUGAUAUUUGUAAUGUGUGGCAGAAACUUGGCAAGUAUGGAGUAUACCAUGAAUCUACAAUUUGGAGCCAACUACAUGUACAUACCCGUCGCGUGGUAUUGAGAGAAUAUGAUUGCAGGCAUUAAUAAUUUAAUAAAAAUUAAUACUAUGACUUUUGAUUAACUAUUAAAGUAAAUUCAGAAGUGCUAAAGUAUGUUUUUCUUAACAAUGUUAGUAAAUUAUUUUUGGCUUUAGUUUGAAUUUUGUUUGUUGCAAACAUGAAAAACAAAUUAAUAAUAAAAAAUCAACACCUUAGG
Magallana angulata is the source of this 751-nucleotide long non-coding RNA. RefSeq lists it as uncharacterized. The transcript has 4 exons. Lineage: Eukaryota; Metazoa; Mollusca; Bivalvia; Ostreida; Ostreidae. The record is from RefSeq and is a predicted model, not a curated record.